Molecule: ribosomal RNA, 370 nt
Filed under: uncultured bacterium
Lineage: Bacteria
Description: bacterial SSU rRNA
Rfam family: Bacterial small subunit ribosomal RNA
Source: RNAcentral
GUGUCAGCAGCCGCGGUAAUACGGAAGGUGCAAGCGUUGUUCGGAAUGACUGGGCGUAAAGCGCACGUAGGCGGUCUCGCAAGUCGGAUGUGAAAUCCCCAGGCUCAACCUGGGAACUGCAUCCGAAACUGCUUGACUUGAAUGCUUGAGAGGUUGGUGGAAUUCCAGGUGUAGGAGUGAAAUCCGUAGAUAUCUGGAGGAACAUCGGAGGCGAAGGCGGCCAACUGGCAAUGCAUUGACGCUGAGGUGCGAAAGCGCGGGGAGCAAACAGGAUUAGAUACCCUGGUAGUCCGCGCCGUAAACGAUGGAUACUAGGUGUUCGGGAAGUUAACCUCCUGAGUACUAAAGCUAACGCAUUAAGUAUCCCGCC